This is a long non-coding RNA of Xenia sp. Carnegie-2017, 959 nucleotides long. RefSeq lists it as uncharacterized. The record is from RefSeq and is a predicted model, not a curated record. Lineage: Eukaryota; Metazoa; Cnidaria; Anthozoa; Malacalcyonacea; Xeniidae. The transcript is spliced from 6 exons.
UUUAAUAUGUUGUGUGAUGUGGUGAAUCAACUGGAGAUGGAGAUAAGUGAUCCUCUCAACUCAGAUGUCCAUAAGCAGUUAAAUGAUCCAGAAAAUUGGAUGGACCGUAUCAACGGAGAAAUUUUUAACAAUUUUAAUGACUUUGACCCUACAUGGUUAGGCUGCUUAAAAUUUUUACAAAACGUUCGCGAGCAGUGGCAAGAUGAACAUCAUCCACAACUGCCGCCAAGUGAGGGCAACUAUAAAAAGUAUUUCCUGCAAGUUUUGCCGGAGCUUCCUCUUCUGGUGCACAGAAUCAUAAGGUAUAUCUAAGCGAAAUCCACUCUAGAUCUGGAAGAACAAUUUGCUAUAAACGAUGAAAGAAGUUUGGGUGAACUUCCAAAAACAGGAAAGAAAAUGCAAAUACCAUUUAUAAGACAGCUUUUCAUUCGAAGAACUAAACCCAAAGGAAAAGGAAAGAGGACGACGAAAACAUUACCCAGAUUGCAUUACGUGGAAGAAGAUUCUCGAAGAUUAUCAAUCAAUCAAUUAAACUGUGGGAUUUAUCGCGAGCUAUGUAGUAAACUAAACGAUGAGUUGUAUCGCAUGGAUUGGAAAACACUAGCUGGAAAAAUGAAUUUCACAGCUGGUGAGGUUAGAGACUUCUCAAGAGAACCGAAUCCUGCUGAUGUGUUGCUUCAACACUGGAAGACGACAAGCAUUAACCACGAUGUUCCUGCUUUGAUCAAAUUGUUGAAGGAAAUGGAGAUAAACGAUCUAGUGGAUUUACUGGAAUCAAACCAAGAUGAUUAUCAGAAUACUUUUACCAGCAUUGCAACAUUGCUUAAGGGUCAAAAAGAUGAGAGCAGAUGACACGCGUAAUAUCAUUUACCAUUUGAACAUUUACCAGGUAGAAUUCGAUUAGAAUGAUAAUAGGAAAAUAAAAAUAGACAAAUUCUCGGUAUCGCUAGUAUCGAAUG